CCUGCCCAAAAUCCUCUUUGUGACACUUGGGGUGGGGACAGUUCCCAUUUUCCCUCCCCAAAUCCCCAUUUUCCCACCCCAAAUCCCCAUUUUCCCCUCGGGAAGGUGCUCAGCACCCUCGCGACUCAUCCUGCACCCUCGGGACUCAUCCUGCACCCUCGGGAUGGUGCUCAGCACCCUCGGCACUCAUCCUGCACCCUCGGGACUCAUCCUGCACCCUCGGGAUGGUGCUCAGCACCCUCGGGACUCAUCCUGCACCCUCGGGACUCACCCUACACCCUCGGGACUCACCCUACACCCUCAGGAUGGUGCUGAGCACCCUCGGAACUCAUCCUUCACCCUCGGGACUCAUCAUUCACCCUCGCGACUCAUCCUGCACCCUCGGGACGGUGCUCAGCACCCUCGGGACGGUGCUCAGCACCUUAGGGAUGGUGCUCAGCACCCUCUGGACUUAUCCUGCACCAUUGGGAUGGUGCUGAGCACCCUCGGGACAGUGCUCAGCACCCUCGGGAUGGUGCUCCUCACCGUUGGGACUCAUCCUGCACCCUCGAAACGGUGCUCAGCACCUUCGGCACUCAUCCUGCACCUUCGGGACUCAUUCUGUGACAGUGACAGUGCCACCCCCUGUCCCCAGGUGACGUUUGACAACCUCGCCCACAGCGGGCGAGUGAGGAUCUGCCUGGACACCCUCGUGGCCAUCUGGGAGUGCCACCACCCCUCGCUGCCUGGCACAGGUGACAGCGGGUGACAAUGGGUGACAAUGGGUGACAGUGGGCUGUGUGGGUGUCCCCUGGGAGUGCCACCACCCUGCCAUGCCUGGCAGAGGUGACACCAUGGUGGCACCUGGCCCCAAAGGUGACCCUGGAUGUCCCCAGGCCUUGGGAAGUGACCCCAGGUGUCCCGGAGGGUGACCCCAGGUGUCCCCAAAGGUGACCCCUAGUGUCCCCAAGGGUGACCCCAGAUGUCCCCAAAGGUGACCCCUAGUGUCCCCGAGGGUGUCCCCAGGCGUCCCUGAGGGUGACCCCGGGUAUCCCUGAGGAUGUCCCCAGGUGUCCCCAAAGGUGUCCCCAGGUAUCCCCAAAGGUGUCCCCAGGUGUCCCUGAGGAUGUCUCCAGGUGUCCCCAAAGGUGACCCCGGGUGUCCCAAAGGUGUCCCCGAGGGUGUCCCCGGGUGUCCCUGAGGGUGACCCCGGCUGUCCCCGAGGUGACCCCGGCUGUCCCCGUCCCCACAGGUGGACGCCUGGCGUUUGACGUGUUGGUGACAGC
RNAcentral lists this long non-coding RNA (1265 nucleotides) under Parus major (Great Tit). RNAcentral's name for it is "lncRNA (ENSPMJG00000000217.1)". The record is from RNAcentral. Lineage: Eukaryota; Metazoa; Chordata; Aves; Passeriformes; Paridae.